UAAGGAAUAUUGGACAAUGGAGGCAACUCUGAUCCAGCCAUGCCGCGUGAAGGAUGAAGGCCCUAUGGGUCGUAAACUUCUUUUGUACGAGAGAAAACCUAUUUACGUGUAGAUAGUUGAUAGUAUCGUAAGAAUAAGGAUCGGCUAACUUCGUGCCAGCAGCCGCGGUAAGACGAAGGAUCCAAGCGUUAUCCGGAUUCAUUGGGUUUAAAGGGUGCGUAGGCGGAUUUGUAAGUCAGUGGUGAAAGCC
RNAcentral lists this ribosomal RNA (250 nucleotides) under uncultured bacterium. RNAcentral describes it as "partial 16S ribosomal RNA". It matches the Rfam family "Bacterial small subunit ribosomal RNA", at positions 355 to 602 of the family's 1533-position model. The record is from RNAcentral.